Long non-coding RNA from Salvia splendens (bonfire salvia), 470 nucleotides. RefSeq lists it as uncharacterized. Lineage: Eukaryota; Viridiplantae; Streptophyta; Magnoliopsida; Lamiales; Lamiaceae. The transcript has 4 exons. The record is from RefSeq and is a predicted model, not a curated record.
CAAAAUCGAAAUCGAAAUUCAAAUUCCUCUCCUCUAAACCUUAAUUUUCCAUUUCCGAUAUGGUUUCUUCCGGCAUUUCUUCUUCCACCCUCAUUUUUGAUUUGGAUGAUACCCUGUAUUCUUCCAAGACUGGAAUCGUCAAAGCUCUUAAACGAAGAAUUUCUUGCUGAGAAAUUUGGAAUUUGUGAAUCCGAUGCUCAGGAUAUGAACAGCGAGCUUUUCCGAACUUGUGAUAUCCAUCCCGAUGAUUAUCACAGGUUGGAAGAGCAACAAAGAGCCAAGAAGCUGAUUAUGCUAUAGAAACGGUGGCAAACAUGGGUGCAGGUGAUACCAGAAAUAUGGGUUGCUGAGGAUGAUAAGAGGAUUGGUCGCGCCACAAAUGAAAUGGGUUCCGUUUAUGCUGCCACUACCGUUGUUGCUUGACAGACUUGUACAUCUACUUUCAAUAUGUUCCAACCCCACAACUAAUU